GUGGGGAAUAUUGGACAAUGGGCGAAAGCCUGAUCCAGCCAUGCCGCGUGAGUGAUGAAGGCCUUAGGGUUGUAAAGCUCUUUCAGUAGGGAAGAUAAUGACGGUACCUACAGAAGAAGCCCCGGCUAACUUCGUGCCAGCAGCCGCGGUAAUACGAAGGGGGCUAGCGUUGUUCGGAUUUACUGGGCGUAAAGCGCACGUAGGCGGAUUGGUCAGUUAGAGGUGAAAUCCUGGAGCGCAACUCCAGAACUGCCUUUAAUACUGCCAGUCUAGAGUCCAGAAGAGGUGUGUAGAACUCCUAGUGUAGAGGUGGAAUUCGUAGAUAUUAGGAAGAACACCAGUGGCGAAGGCGGCUCACUGGUCUGGUACUGACGCUGAGGUGCGAAAGCGUGGGGAGCAAACAGGAUUAGAAACCCGGGUAGUCA
This 425-nucleotide ribosomal RNA is filed under the name uncultured bacterium. Its description in RNAcentral is "bacterial SSU rRNA". It matches the Rfam family "Bacterial small subunit ribosomal RNA", at positions 354 to 796 of the family's 1533-position model. The record is from RNAcentral.